UGCCAGCAGCCGCGGUAAGACGGAGGGUGCAAACGUUGUUCGGAAUUAUUGGGCAUAAAGCGCACGUAGGCGGUUCGUUAAGUCAGUUGUGAAAUCCCUCGGCUCAACCGAGGAACUGCAGUUGAUACUGGCGAACUUGAGGACGGUAGGGGUGAGUGGAACUCCAGGUGGAGCGGUGAAAUGCGUAGAUAUCUGGAGGAACACCGGUGGCGAAAGCGGCUCACUGGACCGUAUCUGACGCUGAGGUGCGAAAGCUAGGGUAGCAAACAGGAUUAGAUA
Molecule: ribosomal RNA, 279 nt
Filed under: uncultured bacterium
Lineage: Bacteria
Description: partial 16S ribosomal RNA
Rfam family: Bacterial small subunit ribosomal RNA
Source: RNAcentral